Molecule: long non-coding RNA, 1237 nt
Filed under: Salmo salar (Atlantic salmon)
Lineage: Eukaryota; Metazoa; Chordata; Actinopteri; Salmoniformes; Salmonidae
Description: lncRNA (ENSSSAG00000105217.1)
Source: RNAcentral
CUCCAGAUCAGAGGCAGUUGGGAUGACCAGGGAUGUUCUCUGUUUAGUGAGUCCUCCAGAUCAGAGGCAGUAGGGAUGACCAGGGAUGUUCUCUGUUUAGUGAGUCCUCCAGAUCAGAGGCAGUAGGGAUGACCAGGGAUGUUCUCUGUUUAGUGAGUCCUCCAGAUCAGAGGCAGUAGGGAGGACCAGGGAUGUUCUCUGUUUAGUGAGUCCUCCAGAUCAGAGGCAGUAGGGAUGACCAGGGAUGUUCUCUGUUUAGUGAGUCCUCCAGAUCAGAGGCAGUAGGGAUGACCAGGGAUGUUCUCUGUUUAGUGAGUCCUCCAGAUCAGAGGCAGUAGGGAUGACCAGGGAUGUUCUCUGUUUAGUGAGUCCUCCAGAUCAGAGACAGUAGAGAUUACCAGGGAUGUUCUCUGUUUAGUGAGUCCUCCAGAUCAGAGACAGUAGGGACGACCAGGGAUGUUCUCUUGAUUAUUGCGUGAAUUGGACCAUUUCCUGUCCUGCUAAGCAUUUAAAAUGUAACGAGUACUUUUGGGUGUCAGGGAAAAUGCAUGGAGUAAAAAGUACAUUAUUUUAUUUAGGAAUGUAGUGAAGUAAAAGUAGUCAAACAUAUAAAUAGUAAAGUACAGAUACCCCAAAAAACGAAUUAAGUAGUAAUUGAAAGUAUUUUUACUGAAGUACUUUACACCACUGCCCCAUACCAUAACCCCACCGCCAACAUGCGGCACUCUGUUCACAACGAUGACAUCAUCAAACCGCUCACCCACACAACGCCAUGCACGUGAUCUGCAGUUGUGAGGCCUGUUGGACGUAACGCCAAAUUCUCUAAACUACUUUAGAGGCGGCUUAUGGUAGAGAAAUUAUCAUUUAAUUAUCUGGCAAAAGCUCUGGUGGACAUUCCUGCAGUCAGCAUGCCAAUUUCACGCUCCCUCAAAACUUGAGACAUCUGUUCCAUUGUGUUGUGUGACAAAACUGCACAUUGUAGAGGGGACUUUUAUUGUCCCCGGCACAAGGUUCACCUGUGUAAUAAUCAUGCUGUUUAAUCAUUUUAUUGAUAUGCCACACCUGUCACACCUGUCAGUUAGAUGGAUUAUCUUGGCAAAGGAGAAGUGCUCACUGACAUGGACGACAAACAUGGACAUGGACGUCAAACAUUUGAGAGACAAACAUUUGAGAGAAAAAAGCUUUUUUGUGCGCAUGGAACAUUUCUGGGAUCUUUUAUUUCAGCUCAUGAAACAUG